CACCAUUGGCAGUUCUGGGAGGAAUGUCAUAUAUUCUGAAUUCUCUAAUUCUCUUCUUGGGAAAGUUUCUGUGAAUGAAAGUAGUGUUUGAUUCUGUAGAAUUAUAUGAAGAUGUGAGAGAUGCUAUCCGAAGCUGAUCUUCUCAUUCUAUACAACACUUCUAUGCUGUUGUAUACAGUAUACUGCAGUUAAGGAGAUCCGCAUUUCUGAAAUUUGGAAGUUGAUCAAACUUGCAUAAUCCUGCCAUAAUUUCAAAAGAAAGUGCGACCAUGGUAGGAAUGGAUUUUUUGUGCUGGUAGAUUUCUUUUGUGAUAAAUUAUUUAAAUAAAAAUCAAUGAAAGAGAAUUUUCAAUUGGGAGGAGAAUUUUCAAGCACCCAUCUCUGAAAGAGAAUUUAGAAGAAGAUUGGUCAAUUCUGAUGGCAGAAAGUUCAAACAAGGAGAUGAGAGCGGAAAAAGACAAAACGACGGCCCUUUUAGGUCUCUGUUUCUGGGACAUGGCGGCGGCGGCGGCGGUGUUGAUGAUGGAGGCAAUUAUGGCCCUGAUUCUGAAGAAAUAAUUAACAAAUCUGGAAAGAAGCUAUGGGGUUUCAAUGGCUUGACGAAAUGGAAGAGAGACGAAACAGAGGACGAGACAGCUCCAUUGGCCCUCCAUGAAAGAUGUGACAGUGAAGCCUUUUGGGGUUCUUCCAAGUUCAAUUCAGAUUGCAACGAGUCCAAUUGGGAAGGCUCCCAGCACUAAAUAAUAAAAAGGAAGUUGCAUUCAAAUGGUUCUCCAUCCCAUUUCUCCAUUGACAAGGUUUUAGGCAAGAGGAUUAAAGAAAUAGCUUUCACGAGUCCAAUCAGAGAUCAAAUCCACAAAUCCCAACCUCAAAUACUCGUAUAAUGGCAGCAACUCGAUGCGAUGGACGACAUUUGACGACGACAAGAAGUGCCAGCCAAAUCUCUUCAACAACAAUAUUAGCAAACCCAAAGGGCUUUCAAUGUUGGUGCUUAUAAUUCUCAAGUAUUUGUAAGCAUAGAGCUGAAAUUACCGUCUCCCUGUCUUGGUUAUCUGUUGUCUUGAUACAGUUCCUUUUUUGGUGUAUAUUGUACAAAUGUCUGCAUGAUUCAAACCAAACUGGCUUUUCCAGAUAUUCAUUCGAGCGUUUAUGCUCAGGGUAAAACUAAAAACUUGUGCAAA
Non-coding RNA from Cucurbita pepo subsp. pepo (vegetable marrow), 1181 nucleotides. The record is from RefSeq and is a predicted model, not a curated record. Lineage: Eukaryota; Viridiplantae; Streptophyta; Magnoliopsida; Cucurbitales; Cucurbitaceae.